CCACCUCCCAAGCCGCCACUCUCAAGCCCUCUCCCUCAUCCGCGUGCAGCAUCUCUCUAGCUCCCCCCUAGAGAGAUCUCACAGCCGAAUAAGCAGCAGCAGCGAGAGACCCCCUCCGGCCUCCUCCUCCCAGCACCAGGAACCACCAAGUCAAGUCGCCAAUGGCCGGUCUCAGGAUGAAGCUCGUCGCCGUCGCCGCCAUGGCCGCCGCGCUCGUGGCCUCCGCGGCCGCCGCCGAGGCCCCGGCCCCGGCGCCCGCCUCCGACGCCGCGGCCGCCGUGCCCCUCGCCGCGGCCUCAUUCGCCGCCGCCGCCUUCGGAUACCUCUUCUGCUAAAUCCGUCGUCGACUCUCCGUAGCGUGGCGUGUGACCCUUCUUGGUCUUGUCCUUCUUGGUUUAUUGUUCUUGGUGUGUGUGCGUGUGUUCGUGCCGGGGUGUGAGGUGUGGGCGCGUGCGUGCGUGUAUGUAUGGGUCGCGGUGGUGUGGGAGGUGUCGAGUACGUGCGUGCGCCGGCGUGCCAUUCUUUGUGUUGGUGAUCAUGUACUUACUCUCUUGUUCUUGCUAUGAAUGAGACCAUUUAUUUGAUUCUUUCUCUCCAGCUUAAACACCAAGUCUUGACUGUUCUGAUGCAUGCAUGCUGUUGAGAUGAUGAAUCUUUGCGUUUCGCAUCACCAAAUGUUCCUUCAGGAAAUUUCGUGCUAAAAAACCUCAGUAUACAAAUGAAACUAAAGUACCAAAUUAACUCUGUUCAACGUCAAAUUUGCCAUAUGAAGAUCGAUUUGAUGCACGCUCCGCAUUUGCGACCGGCAAAACAUCAAUUAUUCAAACACGGAACUGCUGGCUUCUGUGUCGUACGAAGAGGUGAAAAAUGAAUUAAGAUCUUCGAGCAAUGCAAUUUGGAAACCAAAUAGGCCUCUUCUGUUUUCUGAAGAACAGUCUCGGGGAUUUUUCUCAUUUUUUGUGUGGUACGUACAUGUACUACUUGGAAGGUUUGUUUGGAGACGCCAGGUUGUUAAUUGGGUGAGCGAUCCGAAGGGUGGAAUGAUUGGACCAUGUGGCCGCCAUGUGCAGCUGCUCAGCAUCGGUCCACAGCUGAGUUGUCGAGGUAGGGCAACCGUACCAACUGUAUCAUUUUCUGCGACGACGCACCAACGGUAUCAUGCAAACGGUAAGAUGGUGAAUUGAACUCCGAACCGUGCGUUUCGCUGAGUUACAGCGCAGUUGAACCGUUCGUGUGUUUGUUGUCAAAAAAUUUGCGCUUAGUGUUUGCCCAGGAAGAAUAAUGGCCUGAGCGUCUAAGUUCAUUUUUUUUUGUCUGUAUAAGUUCAUUUUUGGGAGGAAAGGGAGGGCGACAGGCGUCAGGCUGGAAAACUGUAAGCCCGGCCCGAUUGUAAACAUGAAACUGGACGACGCCCAUGUUGAAAAUUGUGGGCUAUGCGGUCUACCCUUUAAUUCCUCUGCCUUUUUCGUGGUGCCGCUCACAAUGCAUAUUGAGGUUAAAGGGUAGGGACCUAUUUAUAGACUCCACUUCUAGACGUUUUAUUAUUCCACCUGUUUCCGGAAAGAUCCGUACAACUCCUAGGCAAUGUUACCAACCACGAUAAAACAUGCCGGUUUUCCGAGUCUAAAUAUAUUAGUCAUUAGCACACAUGUGUGAGUCAUGUGCAUGAUUAGAUUGUAUAUGUGAGAUCAACUUCCAAUCUUAAGCAUGUGGGUCAACAGCCUGCAGAGCCGAUCCUGCAAAACAAACCCAGCUCUUCCACCCUGUGAUGUCCCAGGAAAAUACAUACGUACAUAUAAAUUCCAGUAGAGUCGAUCCCUAUUAAUUCCUCUAUUGUAUUCCAUCACAGUCGUCCUCGGCACCUCGAGUUUUACUUCCUCGAGUGAAAUUCCGCAUCAGUUAUUCCCCGUCACAAAUAUUAAUAAUAUGAAUAAUUCCAAGUUGAUUUAAAUAAAUAAUAGUCAUGUUGAAUAAAUGUUGAAAGCCACAUAAUUAUCCAACAUCUCUCACUUGGCUGAAACAUAUUUAAUCAAUAAAUGAAGUUCCAUGUGUAAACAUGUGUUGAAAACAAUUCCUGACUAUAGUCAGUGAAUCUGCACCAUAUUAGAAUUAUUAUACAAAUAAAUGAAAUAUACGUACCUGAGUUUAAUCAUUCCACACCUAGUGUAUACAAUGCUAACUUCCUCAAUGUAUUUACUUUUAACCAAAAACUCAAGAAUAGUUGACAGGUUGUGAUGCACAUUCCACAAUCUCAUAUGAUGUGUGAGAUUCCCUUAGCCACACAUAUUUCCUUACAUUACUUGAAUGCACCAAUAAAUUCCGGUAGCUAAGGUUCAUAGUAUAAAAAAAAUUAAUACAAAUUCCAAUACCAUUAAGUAUCCCAAUUUUCCUCAGGAGUUCAAACAUAAUUCCUCACUAAGUAUGAUUCCCCUUAUCAAGGUAUUUUAAGAGGUUUGCAAUUUCCCAUGAAAAAUGUAUCGCUACACUUACUAUGUAUUUCCACUCCCAAAAAAGGAAGUCUCAAACAUGCCUUUCAUUUGAAAGUUACAAGAUAACCAAGCUUUCACUUCCAUCAAUGUAAUAUUAUCAUUAACGUAUAUAAUAGUAAUGCAAAAUAUUUUACACUUACGUUUGUAGAUGGUCGUUUUUCUUCCUCUAGAAAACCAUGUGACCUGCUAUUCCAUUGGUGUGAAGCUUGUUAUAAGACAAUCAUUAAUAGCAAACCAUGUAUUUAUUUCCUCUUUCCCUAAAUUCCAGAGAAAAAGUUUCCACAAGAAAUAUAUAUAUUCCUUUGUGUAAAUAAUUGAAUAACAAGAGUGGCAUUAUAAUAUUCCAUUGAACCUAAUUCCUUGUAAAACAAAAAAAACUUACGAACAAUGGGCCUGCGGUUCUUUGGUGAGAUAAUAAAUUCCCAAACUUUAUUAUUCCUUAUCGAGUUCAUUCCUUCCCACAUUUCUUCCACCCAUAACUUGUGUUCAUGGAAUAUUUAAACCUAGACUUUGGUUAUUCCUCUAAAAAUUUAGAGUGGCUUCCCCAAACAACAGACAAAAAUCUAAACAUGAUAUUCCAUGUUAUUUCCUCGCACUUAUCCUAAGCAUGUUAGUGUCAGGAGUUUCACUUGUAGUUUCCUUUGGACCAAGAAUAUACUCUAGUAUGAUUGCCAAUAAUUCCACCAUUUUCCAUAAAAAUAUUGUGCUCCCACUUUCCACCAGUUUUCCUUUUCCAGAUCAAAAACAUUCUGUUGAUCCACUAGAAUAAGAAUUAACAAAUUCCUGAUGUGUGCUUUGUAGUAAUUGAGAAUUUCCUUCCAAAAUAAAAUACUUCCUUCCAGUCUACAAACCAUAACAAGUGACUGUGCUAGAUGAAAAAAGUUAUAUACGUAAUAUGUAAUGCUUCUUCCAAAGGAAAAAAAACAAUGGAGCAUCAAAGAUAUUCGAUUCCUCCACUCAAUUGUGAAGCAUAUGGGAGUAUUAAAGAUAUUCAGUUCCUCCUAUCAUGUGAAGUAUACAAUAUAUUACAAUGGUGAAUGAAGUUCCAUGCUCUUAUUCAGUCGUUAUAUUCCUGAAGUGUACUACCCCCACCAACCAGUAGUUAAAACUUUGAAAUCUUUUAAUCAACUGAUUUUCCACUUCAGUACAACAUGUUAACAUCACAAUAAAACCUUCCGACUUGUAUAAUGAAAGGUAAACAUAUAACCAUAUAAAGUGCAAUCAUCGAUGAGUGAAAAGAAAUAAACAAUCUGACCUCGAGUGGGAGUGUCCAAAAGAAAAUACCAUAAGUAUACAUAAAGAAUGACGUGAAGCUUUUUAUCUCCUUCCACCUUAAGAAAAGGCGUGCAAGUUAAAUACCCGUUACAUAUGUGCUUCAGAAAACCAAAUUCCUCCCACUAAAGUUUUGAAUUCCAGAAUUAGUAAGCCACUUGACGGUUCCAUGAUAUGUGACCAAGUCGUCCCAUGACAAAAAUAAUAAAUUUCAAGCAUGUGUUCCCAAUAUCAGCAUUCCUUAGUAUGGAGAUAUCUUCCCCAAAUAAAAAUUGGGUUGCUAACUUCCAAUGGACCAUCAAGAAAGAAUAGACCAUUGUGUGAAAUUCCAUAAUGCACUGAUUUUAUCAUUGAGCAAUAUUUCUAGUCAUCAUUUUCCAAAUAGUAUUUCAUAAACAAUGGGUUCCAAAAUAGAAGCAUAAAUUAAAUCCCUUCACAAUGAAGUUGCAUAUAGAGUGUCGUAUAACAAUGAUACUUUUCCUCCACCAAGGAGUUCAAUGGCAAAAUUUCCAAUUCCAAAGUGUAUAGCAUUGUGUAGCAAUGACAAAACACACAAAAUAUGUAAUUUCCUUUGGUAUUGUUAGCAUGCCAAAAAAUGCUAUCGUAUUCCAACAAUAUAAUACAUAGAAGCUUAAAUCCACAAUCCAACUAUUUGAAAAAAAGGUAGUGUCAUAUACAUAUUUAAUGCAAGUAUUAGCAAUGUGCAUGCCUUUAAGUGAGAGCAAAUUUCCUUAAUUUUCCAUGAGUGAUUCCCAUCUUCCUCCAUAAAGAAGUGAUUGUCAUAAUAGACACCUUUUAAAUUCCUUCUCACGCAAGGUUAGUAUAAGCAUAUCCAUCAAUGAUGAUUUUCCUCCAGAACGGAGUUUGAGGGCAUAAUUUCCAAUUCCAAGUUUAUUAACUUUAGCACUUCCUUGGAAUUGUGUGCAUGGAAGUAUAUGAUAUAUAACCAUAAUGCGCAACAGAACAAAAAAAAUAGUGGUAAAUGAAAAAUUCCGUUAAUACAAAGUAUAGACAUACCUUCCUCUUUACCAAUUGGAUUGAUAAAAUAUUAUAUCUUCCUCUUCAAGGUGCAACCAGUAAUAUUUGGUCGGAUCCUUCCCUCGGAGAGUUUCUAUUGUAUGCUUGGCGAAGACAACUGCUCAAAAUUAUGCAGUUGAUUUCCUUGUGAUUUCCGUCCCAGAACAGGGUGCGCACAAGUAUUAAGAGAGCCAAGAAACACCAACCUUCCUUGUUACGAUCCGAUCCUUAUAGACAAAUAAUGUAGGUCUGGACUUCAGCAUGUACAUGUGUAUGCUAAGAAUAAAUUCCUUGCUUUCCUUAUGUAAGAUAGACGAGCAGGACAUGUAGUACUGUAUGAACAACAGGAACAGACAAAGCUUCCUCGAUCUGAGUAGUAGAUCACGCGAGCAUUCUUUUUCUUUCCUCCAUCGUGGAGUACUAGUAGUAGCAAACCAGCAAUUGAUCUGAUGGCUUGGUCUUGACGUACAUGUCUUUCUCGGGACUUGGACCUUGCUUCCUCGGAUGGAUUUCACACGACCGCUAGUUUGACUGGAUUUCCUGGCCUGUAGCAAGUGCGUCAAUCGAUCCAUGCGCAAACCUCAUGCGAAGGACCUACCUUUCCUCGAUCGCGGGUGCAUCAGCGAUUCUCCACGAUGACGCACAAGUAUCACCGCAGCAAUUAAGCACCAGCGCGGCACGCUACCUAUCCCGUGAUGAGAUUGCAACGGUGUCCGUGAUGGCGUGUCGAAGCAGAUCGAUAACAAAUUCAGACCGAGACGAGUUGACAGCAGAAUCGGCGAUGACGACUGGUAGAGUUUUGUACGCAGCGGAUUAGGGUAAAGAUGAUCGCAACCACGCUACGGCAGAGUUCACGGUAGUAGAUUAGACAACGGCGGCAACCGCCUGACCUAGCUCGAGAUACCAAUGUUGAAAAUUGUGGGCUAUGCGGUCUACCCUUUAAUUCCUUUGCCUUUUUCGUGGUGCCGCUCACAAUGCAUAUUGAGGUUAAAGGAUAAGGACCUAUUUAUAGACUCCAUUUUCAGGCGUUUUAUUAUUCCACUUGUUUCCGGAAAGAUCCGUACAACUCCUAGGCAAUGUUACCAACCACGAUAAAACAUGCCGGUUUUCCGAGUCUAAAUAUAUUAGUCACUAGCACACAUGUGUGAGUCAUGUGCAUGAUUAGAUUGUAUAUGUGAGAUCAACUUCCAAUCUUAAGCAUGUGGGUCAACAGCCUGCAGAGACGAUCCUGCAAAACAAACCCAGCUCUUCCACCCUGUGAUGUCCCGGGAAAAUACAUACGUACAUAUAAAUUCCAGUAGAGUCGAUCCCUAUUAAUUCCUCUAUUGUAUUCCAUCACAGUCGUCCUCGGCACCUCGAGUUUUACUUCCUCGAGUGAAAUUCCGCAUCAGUUAUUCCCCGUCACAAAUAUUAAUAAUAUGAAUAAUUCCAAGUUGAUUUAAAUAAAUAAUAGUCAUGUUGAAUAAAUGUUGAAAGCCACAUAAUUAUCCAACAGCCCAUAUAUAUAAUGCUGGGGUUGCCCCUUCUAGCGCAUCUAGUAGAUCCGUGAAAACUAUAUCUUGCUUACAGCGAGAGUAUCUACCGUCUCGCCACGCUGCGCUCGCUUUGUUCCAUGUGUUCGCUUCCCUACUUCGCUUUGUCUUAUUUUUUUCGUGUUCUUUUUUUUCAUUCGGGUUUCUCUAUUUCUUCAAUAGUUUCCUUCACUUUUCUGUUUUCACUUUGUUUUUCCCUGAUUUUAUUGUUUUUCACUGGUUUUCACUUUCUCCCCUUUUCUUUGGGUUUCUUUGUUUCUUUCUUGUUUGUUUUGUUUACCUUUUUUCUCUUCCCUCGGGGUUUUCCCAUUUUCUUCGAUUCCUUAUCUUUUUACACCGGGUUUUCUCCGGUUUGUUGUCUCCUUUUUCCCUUUGGUUUUCUUUUGUUUCUUUAAUGCUUUUUCUUUGCUAUACUUCGGUUUCCUCUGGUUUUAUCUUAGUUUGUUUUCACUUCUUUUAUGUUUCUUUUCUCUUUUCAUCAUUUUCCUAUUUCUUCAACACAUAUAUAACAUUUUAGUGUACAUUGUACAUUUUUGGUGUAUACAUGAAGCAUUUUCUUGAUACAUGUUUGGCAUUUAUCAAAUACCCGAUGUACAUUUUUCUUAAAAAACAUGCUAUGUACACCUUUUUCGAUACAUGUUCAAUGGUUUUUUGAAUAGAUGCUGAGCAUUAUUUAUUGUAAGAGACAUUAUUAAACUGCAUGAGCAUUUUUAAAUACAUGAUUAAUAUGUUCUUCAACAAAUUUUUUUCAUCAUAUUUUUUAUACACAUUUCUACAUUUUUUUACACCAGAAACAUUUUUACCUACGCAUUUAACAUUUUUUUAAUACGUGAUUACUAUUUUUUACAACAUAUAUUUUAUGAUGUUUACGUUUUCUAUGCAUACUGUACAUUUUGUAUACACGAGGAACAUUUUUUAUAUACAUGUUUGAUAUUUUUGAAAUACAUAAUUACUCUUUUCAAACAUAUAUUUUUUCAUGUCUACUUUUUCCAUAAACAUUGUAUAUUUUGUAUACAUCAGGAAACAUUAUAUAUAUAUAUACACGUUUAACAUUUUCUAAAUAUUAUAAACAUUUUUAAAACAUAUAUUUUUACGUAUACCAUUUGCAUACACAUCCUAUAUUUUUUGCUAUACAUCAGGAAUAUUUUUUACCUUUAGCACUGUCCAAACAUAUGAUUACCAUUUUUAAAUACAUUGUACAUUUUUUGUAUACAUCAGAAACAUGUUUUCUAUAUAACUUUAACGUUCCUAUAUUGCAUGAUUAAUAUUUUUAAAAAUAUUUAAAAUUUAAAUUUGUUUUGAUUUCUUCUUUUUUGCAAACACAUUGUACAAUUUGCCUAUAAUUUUUUUUUGUAUACAUCAGUAAUAUUUUUAAAACACAUUUAUCAUUACAUAAAUGCAUGAUUAAAAAUUUUCAACCUUUGCAUAUAAAGUGAUUUUAUAAUAGCUAUAUCAAGAAUAAUUCUAAAAACAAGCAAAAUUAAAAAAAACACAACCAAAAAACAUUAUUUUAAAGCAAGAAGUAGAGCGUUGAAGGCCUGUGUCCGUUCUGGGCCGGCCCAAUCAGGCGGCUGCCUUCAGCGAGAUGUCCUUCUGUCUAACUGUCUAGCUUGAGUCACCUCAAAAAAAAAAGUCUAGCUCGAGAUUCUAAAAAAAAAAGCUUUCAAGCUUGAAGCGAGACAUGGGCGCGCCCUUGAGCGCCCCUAUAUCUCGCCUUCAGCGAGACGGGAG
Molecule: long non-coding RNA, 8041 nt
Filed under: Triticum aestivum (bread wheat)
Lineage: Eukaryota; Viridiplantae; Streptophyta; Magnoliopsida; Poales; Poaceae
Description: long non-coding RNA (TAES_LNC020379)
Source: RNAcentral